GACGAACGCUGGCGGCGUGCUUAACACAUGCAAGUCGAACGGAAAGGCCCUGCUUUUGUGGGGUGCUCGAGUGGCGAACGAGUGAGUAACACGUGAGUAACCUGCCCUUGACUUUGGGAUAACUUCAGGAAACUGGGGCUAAUACCGGAUAGGAGCUCCUGCUGCAUGGUGGGGGUUGGAAAGUUUCGGCGGUUGGGGAUGGACUCGCGGCUUAUCAGCUUGUUGGUGGGGUAGUGGCUUACCAAGGCUUUGACGGGUAGCCGGCCUGAGAGGGUGACCGGCCACAUUGGGACUGAGAUACGGCCCAGACUCCUACGGGAGGCAGCAGUGGGGAAUAUUGCACAAUGGGCGGAAGCCUGAUGCAGCAACGCCGCGUGCGGGAUGACGGCCUUCGGGUUGUAAACCGCUUUCGCCUGUGACGAAGCGUGAGUGACGGUAAUGGGUAAAGAAGCACCGGCUAACUACGUGCCAGCAGCCGCGGUGAUACGUAGGGUGCGAGCGUUGUCCGGAUUUAUUGGGCGUAAGGGCUCGUAGGUGGUUGAUCGCGUCGGAAGUGUAAUCUUGGGGCUUAACCCUGAGCGUGCUUUCGAUACGGGUUGACUUGAGGAAGGUAGGGGAGAAUGGAAUUCCUGGUGGAGCGGUGGAAUGCGCAGAUAUCAGGAGGAGCACCAGUGGCGAAGGCGGUUCUCUGGGCCUUUCCUGACGCUGAGGAGCGAAAGCGUGGGGAGCGAACAGGCUUAGAUACCCUGGUAGUCCACGCUGUAAACGGUGGGUACUAGGUGUGGGGUCCAUUCCACGGGUUCCGUGCCGUAGCUAACGCUUUAAGUACCCCGCCUGGGGAGUACGGCCGCAAGGCUAAAACUCAAAGGAAUUGACGGGGCCCCGCACAAGCGGCGGAGCAUGCGGAUUAAUUCGAUGCAACGCGUAGAACCUUACCUGGGUUUGACAUGGAUCGGGAGCGCUCAGAGAUGGGUGUGCCUCCUUUGGGGUCGGUUCACAGGUGGUGCAUGGCUGUCGUCAGCUCGUGUCGUGAGAUGUUGGGUUAAGUCCCGCAACGAGCGCAACCCUUGUUCACUGUUGCCAGCACGUUAUGGUGGGGACUCAGUGGAGACCGCCGGGGUCAACUCGGAGGAAGGUGGGGAUGACGUCAAGUCAUCAUGCCCCUUAUGUCCAGGGCUUCACGCAUGCUACAAUGGCUGGUACAGAGAGUGGCGAGCCUGUGAGGGUGAGCGAAUCUCGGAAAGCCGGUCUCAGUUCGGAUUGGGGUCUGCAGCUCGACCUCAUGAAGUCGGAGUCGCUAGUAAUCGCAGAUCAGCAACGCUGCGGUGAAUACGUUCCCGGGGCU
RNAcentral lists this ribosomal RNA (1345 nucleotides) under uncultured bacterium. RNAcentral's name for it is "bacterial SSU rRNA". It matches the Rfam family "Bacterial small subunit ribosomal RNA", at positions 28 to 1381 of the family's 1533-position model. The record is from RNAcentral.